UUGCUCCUAACAGUGUUCAUUAUUUAUUAACUCUGUGGCAAAGGAUGGUAGCAUCUGUUCCUUUUGUGAAAUCAACUGAACCCCACCUAUUAGACACUUAUGCACCAGAAAUCACGAAGGCCUUUAUCACUUCUCGGUUGGACUCUGUUGCCAUAGUUGUGAGAGAUCACUUAGAUGAUCCACUGGAUGAUACUGCCACUGUGUUUCAGCAGUUGGAGCAGUUGUGUACGGUCAGCAGAUGUGAAUAUGAAAAGACAUGUGCUCUUCUUGUGCAGUUAUUCGACCAAAAUGCACAGAAUUACCAAAAACUUCUGCAUCCAUCUUCUGGUGUAACUGUGGACAUCACCAUUCAGGAAGGACGUCUUGCAUGGCUGGUAUACUUAGUUGGGACAGUUGUAGGAGGAAGAUUAACAUAUACCAGUACAGAUGAGCAUGAUGCUAUGGAUGGAGAAUUAUCCUGUCGAGUUUUUCAGCUUAUAUCUUUAAUGGAUACCGGAUUGCCUCGAUGUUCUAAUGAGAAAAUAGAGCUUGCAAUUCUGUGGUUCUUGGAUCAGUUUCGUAAAACAUAUGUUGGUGAUCAACUUCAAAGAACCUCAAAGGUUCUUCAGCAGUCUGUGCUCUCUGUUAAUUCCAGGUAUUAGAAGAAAAUGUUUCCCCUGCUUAAUUAUGCCUAGUGUUCCAUUAUUGGAACGCUACGCAUGUGGGAGUUAUUUGUAUCCUACUGCUUAAGGUCAUCGUCAAGGUCUGAUUGCAAAAAUUUUAAAAA
RNAcentral lists this small RNA (766 nucleotides) under Pan troglodytes (chimpanzee). RNAcentral's name for it is "processed transcript". Lineage: Eukaryota; Metazoa; Chordata; Mammalia; Primates; Hominidae. The record is from RNAcentral.